UACAGAGGUCUCAAGCGUUGUUCGGAUUCAUUGGGCGUAAAGGGUGCGUAGGCGGCGCGGUAAGUCAGUUGUGAAAUCUCCGGGCUUAACUCGGAAAGGUCAACUGAUACUGUGCGACUAGAGUGCAGAAGGGGCAACUGGAAUUCUCGGUGUAGCGGUGAAAUGCGUAGAUAUCGAGAGGAACACCUGCGGCGAAGGCGGGUUGCUGGGCUGACACUGACGCUGAUGCGCGAAAGCCAGGGGAGCGAACGGG
RNAcentral lists this ribosomal RNA (253 nucleotides) under uncultured bacterium. Its description in RNAcentral is "partial 16S ribosomal RNA". It matches the Rfam family "Bacterial small subunit ribosomal RNA", at positions 524 to 776 of the family's 1533-position model. The record is from RNAcentral.